This 295-nucleotide ribosomal RNA is filed under the name Cryptosporidium sp. WM-2010a. RNAcentral describes it as "partial small subunit ribosomal RNA". It matches the Rfam family "Eukaryotic small subunit ribosomal RNA", at positions 467 to 783 of the family's 1831-position model. The record is from RNAcentral. Lineage: Eukaryota; Apicomplexa; Conoidasida; Eucoccidiorida; Cryptosporidiidae.
GUGACAAGAAAUAACAAUACAGGACUUUUUGGUUUUGUAAUUGGAAUGAGUUAAGUAUAAACCCCUUUACAAGUAUCAAUUGGAGGGCAAGUCUGGUGCCAGCAGCCGCGGUAAUUCCAGCUCCAAUAGCGUAUAUUAAAGUUGUUGCAGUUAAAAAGCUCGUAGUUGGAUUUCUGUUAAUAAUUUAUAUAUAAUAUUUUAAUUAAUAUUUAUAUAAUAUUAACAUAAUUCAUAUUACUAUAUUAUUUUUAGUAUAUGAAAUUUUACUUUGAGAAAAUUAGAGUGCUUAAAGCAG